UACAGAGGGGGCAAGCGUUAUUCGGAAUUAUUGGGCGUAAAGGGCGCGUAGGCGGCUUGGCAAGUGGAUGGUGAAAGCCCUCGGCUUAACCGAGGAGCUGCCUGUCAGACUGGAUGGCUUGAGACCGGGAGAGGUGAGUGGAAUUCCCAGUGUAGCGGUGAAAUGCGUAGAUAUUGGGAGGAACACCAGUGGCGAAGGCGGCUCACUGGACCGGAACUGACGCUGAGGCGCGAAAGCGUGGGGAGCAAACAGG
RNAcentral lists this ribosomal RNA (253 nucleotides) under uncultured bacterium. RNAcentral's name for it is "partial 16S ribosomal RNA". It matches the Rfam family "Bacterial small subunit ribosomal RNA", at positions 524 to 776 of the family's 1533-position model. The record is from RNAcentral.